UACAGAGGUCCCAAGCGUUGUUCGGAUUCACUGGGCGUAAAGGGUGCGUAGGCGGUUAGGUAAGUCUGACGUGAAAUCUCCGGGCCUAACCCGGAAACUGCGUUGGAAACUACUUGACUAGAGGAAUGGAGGGGAGACUGGAAUACUUGGUGUAGCAGUGAAAUGCGUAGAUAUCAAGUGGAACACCAGUGGCGAAGGCGAGUCUCUGGACAUUUCCUGACGCUGAGGCACGAAAGCCAGGGGAGCAAACGGG
RNAcentral lists this ribosomal RNA (253 nucleotides) under uncultured bacterium. RNAcentral describes it as "partial 16S ribosomal RNA". It matches the Rfam family "Bacterial small subunit ribosomal RNA", at positions 524 to 776 of the family's 1533-position model. The record is from RNAcentral.